RNAcentral lists this ribosomal RNA (255 nucleotides) under uncultured bacterium. RNAcentral's name for it is "partial 16S ribosomal RNA". It matches the Rfam family "Bacterial small subunit ribosomal RNA", at positions 524 to 776 of the family's 1533-position model. The record is from RNAcentral.
UACGUAGGGGACAAGCGUUGUCCGGAUUUAUUGGGCGUAAAGCGCGCGCAGGCGGCCCUUUAAGUCCGUCGGUCAAAUGCCAGGGCUCAACCCCGAUGCAUGCCGAGGAUACUGGAGGGCUGGAGACACGUAGAGGCAAGCGGAAUUCCGGGUGUAGCGGUGGAAUGCGUAGAGAUCCGGAAGAACACCGGAGGCGAAGGCGGCUUGCUGGGCGUGAUCUGACGCUGAGGCGCGAAAGCGUGGGGAGCGAACAGG